This 80-nucleotide transfer RNA is filed under the name Streptomyces spiralis. RNAcentral's name for it is "tRNA-Phe". The record is from RNAcentral. Lineage: Bacteria; Bacillati; Actinomycetota; Actinomycetes; Kitasatosporales; Streptomycetaceae.
CACCGUGAUGGUGCGGCGCACGACCUGCCCGGCGCUGAAGUCGCCGGGAGCGGGCUCGAUCACGCCGAGCACGAUGCCCA